This 855-nucleotide ribosomal RNA is filed under the name Triticum aestivum (bread wheat). RNAcentral's name for it is "partial small subunit ribosomal RNA". The record is from RNAcentral. Lineage: Eukaryota; Viridiplantae; Streptophyta; Magnoliopsida; Poales; Poaceae.
AUGGCCGCGUCCUGCAUUCACCUUGUCUUUCUCCUUUCUCUUGUCCCAGCAGCCACCGUCGCCUCACCUCGUGGUAAUCUACGCAAGUCCCCGGUCGACAUCGCCACGGCCGCACCGUCUCCGGCAGACGCGUCGCGGCCGACCACCUUCUUCGAGGUGGACCGCCCGCUCCGCCCGCCACCGGGCAGCUCCGGCCCGUGCUCCACGCUCCUGCUAUCCAGCUCAUUCGCGUACACCUUCACCAAGCCGCCCGCCACCGCCGCGUACUCCCCGCCGCCCUGCCUCACCGCGGCCUCGGCGGUCUCCCUCGCCGUCCUCGAGUGGCACGCCACCUGCCGGGCGUCCAGUUCGACAGGAUCUUCGGCGUCUGGCUCGGCGGCGUCGAGCUCCUCCGCGGCAGCACCGCCGAGCCGCUGCAGAACGGCGUCGUCUGGUCCGUCUCCAAGGACGUCACCAGCUUCUGCUGAGGUGGCUGCGAACCGUGAACGCGAAUUGAUUGAGAAAAAGAUGAACUUGUGGGUGAAAGCCAUUGAUGCGUUCAAUGCAGAGUGUAGGGCCUUUUCACAUUAUUAUUUCAAUAAUGACCGUUCAGAAAAUUUUAUAAAAAAAAAAGAGAGGCAGAUGGAGAAGCUCAAGACGGCGGAAAAAAAUUGUAGGCGUGAUCUUGCAAUGCAAAUUGCAUUGUGUGUGACAAGGGGAGAAUAUGCUGAGAUAGACAUGAGAAAUCAUGGUCAGGUCAUUGAUUGGUUAGUUCACCAACCAUUCUCGUUGGACGAGAAGCGGGCUUCUCGUUGGGCAUGGGUCAAAGAAAGAAAUGAUGUUAUUUGUUGCAACCCGGGACCAUAUGCCACAUAG